Molecule: long non-coding RNA, 2157 nt
Organism: Aegilops tauschii subsp. strangulata
Lineage: Eukaryota; Viridiplantae; Streptophyta; Magnoliopsida; Poales; Poaceae
Source: RefSeq, a predicted model, not a curated record
UAAAAACGCACGGGCGAGCUGAUUCAUAUAAAAAAAACACGAGCACUGCCUCUCCUCGAUGCGCACGGGUAUGGCACCGCCGCCGCCGUCACCCGCGGCCGGUCGGCCUCUCCAGCCAUCCGCCGCCGCCACGCGCGGCCGGUUGUCCUCCCCGGCCAUCCGCCGCCCUGUUCUCCAUCCCCUCCCCGGUUGUCCCCGAUCACACACGAGCACGGGAUCUCUGUGAUGCGCACGGGUACGGCGCCGUCGCCGCCGCCACGUGCGACCGGUCGUCCUCUCCGGCCAUCCGUCGCUGCCACGCGCGGCCGGUAGUCCUCUCCGGCCAUUUGCCGCCUUGUUCUCCAUCCCCUCCCCAUGCGUCCCCAAUCAGCCUCCUCGAUCUCGAACCUCAUGUUGUCGUCCUUCUCUGAUUUGGAUCAAAGUGGAGCCAUCAAUGGAAGCAGGGGAGCAGCAGAUGUGGAGCCAAUGGAGGAGGAGGAACAGCUCGGGAAACAUGAGGGAAGGUGUGGAUCUGACGGAAGCGGGGGAGCACAGCAGAUGGAGCCAUCUUAUCGACCCGUUUGGCGACCGGCCGGCUAGCCAAGCCCCUUCGCUCCCAUCACGUCCUCUAGCUCCGACGGUCGCCUGCCCGCACGGGGAUUAGAUGUCUUCGCCGUGACACGUGAGGAUGUUCUUGGACACUCUGUGUUGCUGCUGUUUGUAGUUGCAGAAGUCUUAAGGAGUCAGAGUAGCUUCCACAUCUGUAGUUAGGGCUGACGAUUGUGAUUUUGGGCCUGUACUGAAUAAUUUUGGGAGCGGCUGGGUGAUUACAAGCCAGGAGGACUGCAUGUGAUGAGUUAAGGGCUUAAGGCACAAGAAGAACUACGGCCAUUUUAGCUCCAGCAGUAAGCCCAGUGAGUACACAACCAAUCAACCAUGCAUUUUCACGACCCAGGUUUCUGAAUUCUGGCUGACAGGCUCGCUGCCACAGCCACAUAAUCGCACACAUUCAAAUUGCUAGCUACACAAAAUACGCCCGGAUCUACGAGUAGAAAUCCAAGAAUAGGAAGAACCAGACCGACAGCCCUUGAACUAGAUUGGUUGAAGCAGCAUACAUACAUAUUACAAUUUUGCAUUUUAAAUUUGAAGACUAAAACACGAGCAGCAAUCACUCCCACUGACACCGCGGUGUUGCGAAAAACACGAGCAUUCCUCUCCUUCCAAAUUUCCCACGAGAUAAGCAUCAUUAAAGAGCAUGAUAGUUCUUCUCUCCUCAAGUCUCAGAUCCGUUUUCAUCACCCUUUGGUAUGUUUCGUGGGGAUCUUUUUUAUUCAACGCAUAAAUGUUGAUUCGUUCAUGUGUUUAGAAGUAAGAGGUGCAGCAUGCCAGGGUCCUCGAAGGAGUAGUAGAGCAGAGGAUCUUCUUAGAGAUUUGGAUGUACAGAGUUUAUGAUACAAAGACCUAUUUUAUUUUUGUACCGGCUAUUGAAUUUUCUCCUUUCUAUCUCUGAACCCUUUUGAUAUGUUCUUUACUCCUAUUUCAGCCUUUUAAGGUCGGUUCUUCUUCCGGGAUUGCAGAGAGCAUGGAUCGCCAUAUGGAAGGAGAUGCCAUCCUUACUGUCGUUGUCUUUGGCAUGUUGCUGCCAUCUUUCUAAUCCUUGCACUGCAGAGACCUCAGUCUAUCCAUGGUUCAGAACUGUUACCUUGCUACACCUACACAUGUGGAAAACAUAAACUUGGCAGUCUAAAAUUAAGCAGCAAACUUCAUUGCCGGUCAUCUAAAAAUUCAGUGACAACAGCUGGCACACGAGCUUCAUUUUUUAGUAGAGAUAGUAUAUGAUGCAGAUGACAGUUCUACCUCUUUGACUGAAACAAGAACUUCCUCACCAAGGGCAUACCUACAAGACAGGGGCAUACCUGCAGGACAGCAGGAGGUCCUCAGGCACGCAGCACACAUUCACCAAAGAUAUGGAGCUACCAUUUUAGAUUAGUACUAGCAUAAUGGUACAUACUGUGUGUUUUAGCAUAUUAGUAGUAGCAUACCUGCAAGAGGUCCUAAGUUUGUUCAGUUCUAUACAAAGUUGAGUUGGUAUGUAGUGUUGAGAGGAUCCUAAAAUAUUGUACUACAUAAUCUCUUUCCAGGUUCAUGAAAACUUGCACUCUCCUGUUGAAUUUCGCA